CCUACGGGGGACAGCAGUGGGGAAUAUUGCACAAUGGGGGGAACCCUGAUGCAGCAACGCCGCGUGAAGGAAGACGGUUUUCGGAUUGUAAACUUCUAUCAAUAGGGAAGAAAGAAAUGACGAUACCUAAAUAAGAAGCCCCGGCUAACUACGUGCCAGCAGCCGCGGUAAUACGUAGGGGGCAAGCGUUAUCCGGAUUUACUGGGUGUAAAGGGAGCGUAGACGGCUAAUCAAGUCAGAAGUGAAAACCCAUGGCUCAACCUUGGGACUGCUUUUGAAACUGAGUAGCUAGAGUGCAGGAGAGGUAAGCGGAAUGCCUAGUGUAGCGGUGAAAUGCGUAGAUAUUAGGAGGAACACCAGUGGCGAAGGCGGCUUACUGGACUGUAACUGACGUUGAGGCUCGAAAGCGUGGGGAGCAAACAGGAUUAGAUACCCCAGUAGUC
This 443-nucleotide ribosomal RNA is filed under the name uncultured bacterium. Its description in RNAcentral is "partial 16S ribosomal RNA". It matches the Rfam family "Bacterial small subunit ribosomal RNA", at positions 338 to 795 of the family's 1533-position model. The record is from RNAcentral.